CCCUUAGACACUCUAGGCGGCACGCGCGCUACAAUGGGCGGGAGAACGUGUUACUACCACUGAAAAGUGGGGUGAAUCACGAAUCCUUGCCCGUGAAUGGGAUAGUUUGUUGCAAUUUUCGGACUUGAACUAGGAAUCCCUUGUAAGCAUGCUCAAGAAUAGCGUGUUGAAUACGUCCCUGCCGUUUGUACACACCGCCCGUCGUUUCUUCCGACUGAUACUCAUUGUGAGUUGCAAGGAUCCUUUAUUGGAAAAUUGCCGCGAAUGCUUUGUAUUGGAGGAAGAAAAAGUCGUAACA
Molecule: ribosomal RNA, 298 nt
Filed under: uncultured eukaryote
Lineage: Eukaryota
Description: partial 18S ribosomal RNA
Rfam family: Eukaryotic small subunit ribosomal RNA
Source: RNAcentral